Molecule: ribosomal RNA, 481 nt
Filed under: uncultured bacterium
Lineage: Bacteria
Description: partial 16S ribosomal RNA
Rfam family: Bacterial small subunit ribosomal RNA
Source: RNAcentral
GCCUAACACAUGCAAGUCGAACGGAACUUCUUUAAUUGAUAUUUUCGGAAUGAUUUUGAUUAAGUUUAGUGGCGGACGGGUGAGUAACGCGUGAGUAACCUGCCUCUGAGAGGGGAAUAACAUUCUGAAAAGAAUGCUAAUACCGCAUAACAUAUAUUUAUCGCAUGGUAGAAAUAUCAAAGGUUUAUCGCUCAGAGAUGGACUCGCGUCCGAUUAGUUAGUUGGUGAGGUAACGGCUCACCAAGACCACGAUCGGUAGCCGGACUGAGAGGUUGAACGGCCACAUUGGGACUGAGACACGGCCCAGACUCCUACGGGAGGCAGCAGUGGGGGAUAUUGCGCAAUGGGGGAAACCCUGACGCAGCAACGCCGCGUGAAGGAUGAAGGUCUUCGGAUUGUAAACUUCUUUUAUUAAGGACGAAUAAAGUGACGGUACUUAAUGAAUAAGCUCCGGCUAACUACGUGCCAGCAGCCGCCGUAA